GCACACAUAGCUCAGUAGGAUAGAGCGACGCUCUCCUAAAGCGUAGGCCGGGGGUUCGAUUCCUCUUGUGUGCACCA
This 77-nucleotide transfer RNA is filed under the name Anaerosphaera aminiphila DSM 21120. RNAcentral describes it as "tRNA_Arg_CCT". It matches the Rfam family "tRNA". From Rfam's summary of the family: Transfer RNA (tRNA) molecules are approximately 80 nucleotides in length. Their secondary structure includes four short double-helical elements and three loops (D, anti-codon, and T loops). The record is from RNAcentral. Lineage: Bacteria; Bacillati; Bacillota; Tissierellia; Tissierellales; Peptoniphilaceae.